RNAcentral lists this ribosomal RNA (496 nucleotides) under uncultured bacterium. RNAcentral's name for it is "partial 16S ribosomal RNA". It matches the Rfam family "Bacterial small subunit ribosomal RNA", at positions 29 to 507 of the family's 1533-position model. The record is from RNAcentral.
AUGAACGCUGGCGGCGUGCCUAAUACCUGCAAGUCGCGCGCACGGACGAGAAGCUUGCUUCUCUGAUGUUAGCGGCGGACGGGUGAGUAACACGUGGAUAACCUACCUAUAAGACUGGGAUAACUUCGGGAAACCGGAGCUAAUACCGGAUGAUAUUUUGAACCGCAUGGUUCAAAAGUGAAAGACGGUCUUGCUGUCACUUAUAGAUGGAUCCGCGCUGCAUUAGCUAGUUGGUAAGGUAACGGCUUACCAAGGCAACGAUGCAUAGCCGACCUGAGAGGGUGAUCGGCCACACUGGAACUGAGACACGGUCCAGACUCCUACGGGAGGCAGCAGUGGGGAAUCUUCCGCAAUGGGCGAAAGCCUGACGGAGCAACGCCGCGUGAGUGAUGAAGGUCUUCGGAUCGUAAAACUCUGUUAUUAGGGAAGAACAUAUGUGUAAGUAACUGUGCACAUCUUGACGGUACCUAAUCAGAAAGCCACGGCUAACUACGUG